Molecule: ribosomal RNA, 669 nt
Filed under: Escherichia coli
Lineage: Bacteria; Pseudomonadati; Pseudomonadota; Gammaproteobacteria; Enterobacterales; Enterobacteriaceae
Description: bacterial SSU rRNA
Rfam family: Bacterial small subunit ribosomal RNA
Source: RNAcentral
AAAUUGAAGAGUUUGAUCAUGGCUCAGAUUGAACGCUGGCGGCAGGCCUAACACAUGCAAGUCGAACGGUAACAGGAAGCAGCUUGCUGCUUUGCUGACAAGUGGCGGACGGGUGAGUAAUGUCUGGGAAACUGCCUGAUGGAGGGGGAUAACUACUGGAAACGGUAGCUAAUACCGCAUAACGUCGCAAGACCAAAGAGGGGGACCUUCGGGCCUCUUGCCAUUGGAUGUGCCCAGAUGGGAUUAGCUAGUAGGUGGGGUAACGGCUCACCUAGGCGACGAUCCCUAGCUGGUCUGAGAGGAUGACCAGCCACACUGGAACUGAGACACGGUCCAGACUCCUACGGGAGGCAGCAGUGGGGAAUAUUGCACAAUGGGCGCAAGCCUGAUGCAGCCAUGCCGCGUGUAUGAAGAAGGCCUUCGGGUUGUAAAGUACUUUCAGCGGGGAGGAAGGGAGUAAAGUUAAUACCUUUGCUCAUUGACGUUACCCGCAGAAGAAGCACCGGCUAACUCCGUGCCAGCAGCCGCGGUAAUACGGAGGGUGCAAGCGUUAAUCGGAAUUACUGGGCGUAAAGCGCACGCAGGCGGUUUGUUAAGUCAGAUGUGAAAUCCCCGGGCUCAACCUGGGAACUGCAUCUGAUACUGGCAAGCUUGAGUCUCGUAGAGGGG